CCUACGGGAGGCAGCAGUAGGGAAUCUUCCACAAUGGACGAAAGUCUGAUGGAGCAACGCCGCGUGAGUGAAGAAGGGUUUCGGCUCGUAAAGCUCUGUUGGUAGUGAAGAAAGAUAGAGGUAGUAACUGGCCUUUAUUUGACGGUAAUUACUUAGAAAGUCACGGCUAACUACGUGCCAGCAGCCGCGGUAAUACGUAGGUGGCAAGCGUUGUCCGGAUUUAUUGGGCGUAAGGCGAGUGCAGGCGGUUCAAUAAGUCUGAUGUGAAAGCCUUCGGCUCAACCGGAGAAUUGCAUCAGAAACUGUUGAACUGGAGUGCAGAAGAGGAGAGUGGAACUCCAUGUGUAGCGGUGGAAUGCGUAGAUAUAUGGAAGAACACCAGUGGCGAAGGCGGCUCUCUGGUCUGCAACUGACGCUGAGGCUCGAAAGCAUGGGUAGCGAACAGGAUUAGAUACCCCAGUAGUC
This 465-nucleotide ribosomal RNA is filed under the name uncultured bacterium. RNAcentral describes it as "partial 16S ribosomal RNA". It matches the Rfam family "Bacterial small subunit ribosomal RNA", at positions 338 to 795 of the family's 1533-position model. The record is from RNAcentral.